GUCAACUUCCAGCGGACGGACACGGAGGAAAGGGCCUGGCUACCACCAGUUGAGUCAAUGAUUCAUGAAGAGACAGUUUGGGCAGCAGCAACAAGACAACCAUUACAAGUAGAGAUGGGUUUCAAGAACUGGUACUAAUUUGGUUCCUGACUUGUUCGACACAACCACAUAUCAUGUAAAUCAUCUCAGAGUGGAUGGCAGCAAGGAUCCAGGAUCAAGAGAUCAUUCAUCAUGGAGACUGUUCCACAGGAAGCAGUUUAUCCUGGGUGAAAAACUAAACCUGGUGGUUUCAGCAUCACUCAGGC
Carassius carassius (crucian carp) is the source of this 305-nucleotide long non-coding RNA. RefSeq lists it as uncharacterized. The transcript is spliced from 4 exons. The record is from RefSeq and is a predicted model, not a curated record. NCBI's taxonomy places the organism in Eukaryota, Metazoa, Chordata, Actinopteri, Cypriniformes, Cyprinidae.